GCGCUCGUUUCCACAGCACAAAUGCUAAAAUUGGAAUGACACAAAGAAGAUUAGCAUGGCCCCUGCACAUGGAUGACAUGCAAAUUCAUGAGGCAUUUCAGAUUUUA
This is a small nuclear RNA of Gorilla gorilla gorilla (western lowland gorilla), 107 nucleotides long. Lineage: Eukaryota; Metazoa; Chordata; Mammalia; Primates; Hominidae. The record is from Ensembl.